GUUUCACCGUGUUAGCCAGGAUGGUCUCGAUCUCCUGACCUCGUGAUCCGCCCACCUCGGCCUCCCAAAGUGCUGAGAUUACAGGCCUGAGCCACCGCGCCCGGCCCUUCCAGGCUGGAUUUUUAAUGAAACAAACUUUGGGGAGGUCGGGGCUGGCAGGGACCCUAGGAUCCUUGUGAUUUUUUUCUUAGCACUUGAUGUCAGGGACUGACAGUGACUGACUGGGGGAGACGGUCCUGCGGCCCCUUCCCUGGGGUGUGUUCUGGGACCUGUGGUUUGCUGGCGGAAACAAGUGAUGAGGCUGGUUAGCGGAUGUGGGAGGCUGUGGCCCUAGGGGGCCAUAGGGUGCGGUGGAACUGCAGGCCCUGCUGAUGACGGCAGCCAGCUGCUUCCAGGAACCAGGUGUCCAAGGCCACCUCUGCAGGGGCUUCCUCUUCAACCUGCCUGGGGUGAGAGCAUAUAAAACAAUGGACAAAAUGCUCCAGUUAAAAGACAAGAUCCAGCAGGGUGUCCGCUGUGCUCCUGAUCCAGCAAGGCGCCCCCUGCCACUCCCAAUCGGGCUAAAGACUUGCCAUUGCUCCUGCAUGGGUAAGUGCCUGGGUUCGUCCUAAUCGAGCUGAACACUAGUCACUGGGUUCCACGGUUCUCUUCCGCGACCCACAGCUUCUAAUAGAGCUAAAACAUUCGCCACCUAAGAUUCCAUUCCUUGGAAUCUGUGAGGCCAAGAACCCCAGGUCAGAGAACACGAGGCCUGCCACCAUUUUGGCGACCAUGAAGGGACCUCUAAAGCGGUGAGUAAUAUUGGACCACUUUCACUUGCUAUUCUGUCCUAUCCUUCCUUAGAAUUGGAGGAAAAUACCCGGCACCUGUCGGCCGGUUAAAAACGAUUAGCGUGGCCGCCAGAGUUAAGACUCACGUGUGAGGCUAUCUGGGGAAGGGCUUUCUAACAACCCCCAACACUUCUGGCUGGUUGAGAUCAUGGCACAGCCAGAAGUCUCUACUCAACAGUCGCCAAUCCGUGUGCGCUUACCUUUCCUUCUGACCCAUACUUCCUAGGUCCCGACCACGACUUUCUUCAAAGUAUAGCCCCCAAAUUCUCCUUACCUCUGAAUCUACUUCCUCUGAUGCCUGCCUCCUAGGUACUGAUUUGUUUUUCUAAGACCAGCCAAGCGGGCACAAAAGAACCAGCGGGUAGGCAAGUGUAGGAGCAAAACUGCAAGUUUAUUUUUGGUCACUUAAGGUGUGGGGAAGAGGUCUGUCGGCC
Piliocolobus tephrosceles (Ugandan red Colobus) is the source of this 1264-nucleotide long non-coding RNA. RefSeq lists it as uncharacterized. The record is from RefSeq and is a predicted model, not a curated record. NCBI's taxonomy places the organism in Eukaryota, Metazoa, Chordata, Mammalia, Primates, Cercopithecidae. The transcript is spliced from 3 exons.